GACGAACGCUGGCGGCGUGCCUAAUACAUGCAAGUUGAGCGCUGAAGGUUGGUACUUGUCCCAACUGGAUGAGCAGCGAACGGGUGAGUAGCGCGUGGGGAAUCUGCCUUUGAGCGGGGGACAACAUUUGGAAACGAAUGCUAAUACCGCAUAAAAACUUUAAACACAAGUUUUAAGUUUGAAAGAUGCAAUUGCAUCACUCAAAGAUGAUCCCGCGUUGUAUUAGCUAGUUGGUGAGGUAAAGGCUCACCAAGGCGAUGAUACAUAGCCGACCUGAGAGGGUGAUCGGCCACAUUGGGACUGAGACACGGCCCAAACUCCUACGGGAGGCAGCAGUAGGGAAUCUUCGGCAAUGGACGAAAGUCUGACCGAGCAACGCCGCGUGAGUGAAGAAGGUUUUCGGAUCGUAAAACUCUGUUGGUAGAGAAGAACGUUGGUGAGAGUGGAAAGCUCAUCAAGUGACGGUAACUACCCAGAAAGGGACGGCUAACUACGUG
This 497-nucleotide ribosomal RNA is filed under the name uncultured bacterium. RNAcentral's name for it is "partial 16S ribosomal RNA". It matches the Rfam family "Bacterial small subunit ribosomal RNA", at positions 28 to 507 of the family's 1533-position model. The record is from RNAcentral.